RNAcentral lists this ribosomal RNA (861 nucleotides) under uncultured bacterium. RNAcentral's name for it is "bacterial SSU rRNA". It matches the Rfam family "Bacterial small subunit ribosomal RNA", at positions 524 to 1381 of the family's 1533-position model. The record is from RNAcentral.
UACGUAGGGAGCAAGCGUUGUCCGGUAUUUAUUGGGCGUAAAGAGCUCGUAGGCGGCUUGGCAAGUCUGAUGUGAAACCCCCAGGCUUAACCUGGGGCCGCCAUUCGAUACUGCUAUGGUUUGAGUUCGGUAGGGGAUUGUGGAAUUCCCGGUGUAGCGGUGAAAUGCGCAGAUAUCGGGAGGAACACCAAUGGCGAAGGCAGCAAUCUGGGCCGACACUGACGCUGAGGAGCGAAAGCGUGGGGAGCAAACAGGAUUAAAUACCCUGGUAGCCCACGCCCUAAACGUUGGGCACUAGGUGUGGGACCUACUUCGACGGGUUCCGUGCCGUAGCUAACGCAUUAAGUGCCCCGCCUGGGGAGUACGGCCGCAAGGCUAAAACUCAAAGGAAUUGACGGGGGCCCGCACAAGCGGCGGAGCAUGUGGCUUAAUUCGAUGCAACGCGAAGAACCCCACCUGGGCUUGACAUGUUGGGAAAAGCCGUAGAGAUACGGUGUCCAUUAGGGCCCUUCACAGGUGGUGCAUGGCUGUCGUCAGCUCGUGUCGUGAGAUGUUGAGUUAAGUUCCGCAACGAGCGCAACCCUUGUCUUAUGUUACCAGCGAGUAAUGUCGGGGACUCAUGAGAGACUGCCGGGGUCAACUCGGAGGAAGGUGGGGAUGACGUCAAGUCAUCAUGCCCCUUAUGUCCAGGGCUGCACACAUGCUACAAUGGCCGGUACAGAGGGUCGCAAUCCCGCGAGGGGGAGCUAAUCCCACAAAGCCGGUUUCAGUUCGGAUCGCAGUCUGCAACUCGACUGCGUGAAGCCGGAGUCGCUAGUAAUCCCGAAUCAGCAUUGUCGGGGUGAAUACGUUCCCGGGCCU